GACGAACGCUGGCGGCGUGCUUAACACAUGCAAGUCGAACGGAAAGGCCCUGCUUUUGUGGGGUGCUCGAGUGGCGAACGGGUGAGUAACACGUGAGUAACCUGCCCUUGACUUUGGGAUAACUUCAGGAAACUGGGGCUAAUACCGGAUAGGAGCUCCUGCUGCAUGGUGGGGGUUGGAAAGUUUCGGCGGUUGGGGAUGGACUCGCGGCUUAUCAGCUUGUUGGUGGGGUAGUGGCUUACCAAGGCUUUGACGGGUAGCCGGCCUGAGAGGGUGACCGGCCACAUUGGGACUGAGAUACGGCCCAGACUCCUACGGGAGGCAGCAGUGGGGAAUAUUGCACAAUGGGCGGAAGCCUGAUGCAGCAACGCCGCGUGCGGGAUGACGGCCUUCGGGUUGUAAACCGCUUUCGCCCGUGACGAAGCGUGAGUGACGGUAAUGGGUAAAGAAGCACCGGCUAACUACGUGCCAGCAGCCGCGGUGAUACGUAGGGUGCGAGCGUUGUCCGGAUUUAUUGGGCGUAAAGGGCUCGUAGGUGGUUGAUCGCGUCGGAAGUGUAAUCUUGGGGCUUAACCCUGAGCGUGCUUUCGAUACGGGUUGACUUGAGGAAGGUAGGGGAGAAUGGAAUUCCUGGUGGAGCGGUGGAAUGCGCAGAUAUCAGGAGGAACACCAGUGGCGAAGGCGGUUCUCUGGGCCUUUCCUGACGCUGAGGAGCGAAAGCGUGGGGAGCGAACAGGCUUAGAUACCCUGGUAGUCCACGCUGUAAACGGUGGGUACUAGGUGUGGGGUCCAUUCCACGGGUUCCGUGCCGUAGCUAACGCUUUAAGUACCCCGCCUGGGGAGUACGGCCGCAAGGCUAAAACUCAAAGGAAUUGACGGGGCCCCGCACAAGCGGCGGAGCAUGCGGAUUAGUUCGAUGCAACGCGUAGAACCUUACCUGGGUUUGACAUGGAUCGGGAGUGCUCAGAGAUGGGUGUGCCUCUUUUGGGGUCGGUUCACAGGUGGUGCAUGGCUGUCGUCAGCUCGUGUCGUGAGAUGUUGGGUUAAGUCCCGCAACGAGCGCAACCCUUGUUCACUGUUGCCAGCACGUUAUGGUGGGGACUCAGUGGAGACCGCCGGGGUCAACUCGGAGGAAGGUGGGGAUGACGUCAAGUCAUCAUGCCCCUUAUGUCCAGGGCUUCACGCAUGCUACAAUGGCUGGUACAGAGAGUGGCGAGCCUGUGAGGGUGAGCGAAUCUCGGAAAGCCGGUCUCAGUUCGGAUUGGGGUCUGCAACUCGACCUCAUGAAGUCGGAGUCGCUAGUAAUCGCAGAUCAGCAACGCUGCGGUGAAUACGUUCCCGGGGCU
Molecule: ribosomal RNA, 1346 nt
Filed under: uncultured bacterium
Lineage: Bacteria
Description: partial 16S ribosomal RNA
Rfam family: Bacterial small subunit ribosomal RNA
Source: RNAcentral